RNAcentral lists this ribosomal RNA (159 nucleotides) under uncultured bacterium. RNAcentral's name for it is "partial 16S ribosomal RNA". It matches the Rfam family "Bacterial small subunit ribosomal RNA", at positions 1342 to 1500 of the family's 1533-position model. The record is from RNAcentral.
UGGCAGGUCAGCAUACUGCCGUGAAUACGUUCCCGGGCCUUGUACACACCGCCCGUCACACCAUGAGAGUUUGUAACACCCAAAGCCGGUGGGGUAACCUUUUGGAGCCAGCCGUCUAAGGUGGGACAGAUGAUUGGGGUGAAGUCGUAACAAGGUAAC